This 72-nucleotide transfer RNA is filed under the name Camelus bactrianus (Bactrian camel). It matches the Rfam family "tRNA". From Rfam's summary of the family: Transfer RNA (tRNA) molecules are approximately 80 nucleotides in length. Their secondary structure includes four short double-helical elements and three loops (D, anti-codon, and T loops). Lineage: Eukaryota; Metazoa; Chordata; Mammalia; Artiodactyla; Camelidae. The record is from Rfam by way of RNAcentral. RNAcentral also lists the same sequence under 2 other names.
UGGGGAAUAGCUCCGUGGUAGAGCCCAUGCUUAGCAGACAUGAGGUCCUGGGUUCAAUCUCCAGUACCUCCA